Molecule: non-coding RNA, 312 nt
Organism: Halolamina sp. CBA1230
Lineage: Archaea; Methanobacteriati; Methanobacteriota; Halobacteria; Halobacteriales; Haloferacaceae
Source: Rfam
GAGUGGACUAGGUCGGGCGGUUAGGCCCCGCUCGUCACCCCCGAGAUAGUCUUCAGGGGGGACCGAACCCCGGGCGCGUCCGGUCAGACCGGCGCGGGCCUCGGGAGCCGACGUGGAAGCCUCGUCCGCCGGGGACAGCGGUCCGCGACGCCCGCCCGCAGGGGCGAUCCGUCGCGGUUGGUCGACGGCACCGGGUCAGGCGCGGAAGCGAGCAGCCCACCGUCGGACGCCCGUCGCUCGUCGGGUCGCGGGGUGGAGGAGGCAACCGAGACUCCCCGUGUCGGAACGCCGGGCAACCCCGGGCGUCCGCCA